Molecule: ribosomal RNA, 253 nt
Filed under: uncultured bacterium
Lineage: Bacteria
Description: partial 16S ribosomal RNA
Rfam family: Bacterial small subunit ribosomal RNA
Source: RNAcentral
UGCGAAGGGGGCUAGCGUUGUUCGGAUUUACUGGGCGUAAAGCGCACGUAGGCGGACUAAUAAGUCAGGGGUGAAAUCCCGGGGCUCAACCCCGGAACUGCCUUUGAUACUGUUAGUCUUGAGUAUGGAAGAGGUGAGUGGAAUUCCGAGUGUAGAGGUGAAAUUCGUAGAUAUUCGGAGGAACACCAGUGGCGAAGGCGGCUCACUGGUCCAUUACUGACGCUGAGGUGCGAAAGCGUGGGCAGCAAACAGG